Leptidea sinapis is the source of this 1365-nucleotide long non-coding RNA. RefSeq lists it as uncharacterized. NCBI's taxonomy places the organism in Eukaryota, Metazoa, Arthropoda, Insecta, Lepidoptera, Pieridae. The transcript has 3 exons. The record is from RefSeq and is a predicted model, not a curated record.
UGCACGUAAAAAUGCAACCGCGUCUGCAUGCGACAUAUUUGACAUUGACGUGUCGUUUACCUGUCGUUCAAACAAUUUAAAUGGAUAAAAUAAUUUGUAAAACGAUGAAUUAUUUUUAUACAAUUAUUUGUAUUUUUAAAUGUGUGUUCAGCUCCAAACGUCAUACAAUGCGGUCACUGAAAAUCAGUAUAGUGCUCAAUAAAGUAUUAUUUUAUAUGGACACAGCUGUUACGGAAUAUUACUUACAGUUUUGGAAGACCAGUGCCACUCAGAUCAUUUGGUUGUAUUCUACCGUCGCUGAGUGCUGGCUCUCGUACCAAGGCGCGCACGUAGUGGCCGAGGGCGCUGUGAUCCUCUUUGCGAAGUGUGAAGCCGAGGGAACCGUUUACCUUUGUCAUCACUAUGUCAAACUCCUACAAUCACGUCACGAACCUGGGGUACAUUUGUUCGGGAAGAUUGGACAUUCUCUCAUGAAAAAUAACAAGUUGAAGUUUCAUUAUGCAGAUAGUUUAUGAAUGAGGUCGAUUUUUAUUCGUGGAGUGGAACUAAGAAAAUACUUAAGAAGCUAUGGAUGGAGCAAGUAACUAAUGCGGGGUGCAUGAAGGAUUAUUAGAGUAUAAGCCAGUCGAUAUUUAAGAAUCUGUCUCAAGAUGAAAUUGACGGUUCAUUAAAGUAUUUUGACUUGGACAACAUAUAGUGUCGUUUCGUUCGUUAUAAGUGGACGUUGCUGAACUCGUUGAUACGAUGCUUAAUUUUGUUAAUACAUUUACGUAGUAUCAGGAAUGUAUUAUUAUUGAAUUUAAAUGAGAGAAUAACGUAUGCCACAUUAUUUACAAAAACCACUAAUUAAAUACUGCGUGUGUUAUUGAUAUAUUGAUUUCAUAGAACACGCCUAUUUGAAAGUAGAUAAUUUCAAAAAACAAUUUCAAUUUGAGACAGAAUCUAGAUCAGAGUUGUUUUAUUUUUUCUUUGUUAACGUAUAAUGUCUAAUACUUGGUAGAAAUAUAUUUAACUUGUAUUUCUGCAUGCUAGUAGUAAAGUAAUCAACUACGGCGUCACUUACGAUAAUAUACUUACCACAGAUCCGUCAUCCUAUGAAGCGUGAACAGAGGGCUUUAUUAAUUGAAAGGAGACGUGAACAUGGUUCCAGCGAUAUUAAAUUUUGUAUUUUGCUCUCUAGCGUAUUAUGUAGCUACAUGAGUAAGGAUAUUUAAUAUUUAGCUUCAAAAUCUGCCAAUUUUCAUGUAAUCGGUAUAUUAUGUUUAUAUUGUAAUCUGCGAUAACAAGCGAAAUAUUAUAAUAUGAAGCAAGAUUUGGUUGUUGAAUAACAUAAGACGGAGAAUUAAUAAAUCUUCUUCAAAUUAA